This is a long non-coding RNA of Gopherus flavomarginatus (Mexican gopher tortoise), 945 nucleotides long. RefSeq lists it as uncharacterized. The transcript is spliced from 2 exons. The record is from RefSeq and is a predicted model, not a curated record. NCBI's taxonomy places the organism in Eukaryota, Metazoa, Chordata, Testudines, Testudinidae.
GCCCCUGAAGAACAGCAGCACGCUCCAGCAUGGCAGAGGAGUCUCUGCAUAGCCUCACUCCAGGCUCAGCUCAGCUCAGCGGCGCUCACAGGAGUCAUAGUUACAUGACCUCAAGCCACACGACUGGCAGUGGUAGCAUCUGAUCACCCUCAGCGUGGCAGGCUAAGGGGGGCGCUCGUCUUCCAGAACUGGUGCUGCCCUUUCCAUGGAAUUCAUUUCAUGCUCCAGCUUGGGGGGCUGUGUGCAUCAGAGAACGCAGCUGCUGCUCCAGUGCCUGGCUCCCUUCCUCCUGCCCUGGUUCCCGGUAGAGGAAAGUGAUGCUUUGCUCCGGUCAACGACCUCGUUCCCAGACAUUUGUGCUAACUGGCUCCCGCAGAGAUGCAAAGCAAGGAACAUGCUGUUACAAAAUGAUAUUCUGUAGCGUGUUUGAACAACUGCCAUUAAGAUUUCCUGCUGUUAUGGUUUAUUUGCAUUUGUGUGCCCAAUGCCACAGCACAGACAAUGUACCGACAACAAACCCUCCCCUCCCACACACAAAGCCUUGUGCUGGCCUGCACUGGUCAGGCCGAGACACAUGCACUGGAGGGACUGCGUUCGGAGACUCACCGGUGACAUGAGGUACUAAGAAAGGCCACACUCUCCUCCCCACAAGUAGCCCCCUCGAGCCUGGCAUUCUACUACUCGGACACACCCAACAGCAGCGACACACCAGACCAAGACAGCGCAUCAGGGAAAAAGUCCAGUCUUCCUCAAGUUUGUCUACAGCGUCCGUCCCCUGCCCGGCAGAGGGAGCUGACUGGAACAAAUGCUCUGUAGAAAUAUUUCAGUAUUUGCCUAUUUUUCCCCUCCCCGUCCCCUGCCGCCCUUUUUCAGGUUGUGAGUACAGCUGUAGACUCAGUGAGCUGGAUGGAUUCUAAUAAAACAUACAGUAUAUAUUGUAACGGA